RNAcentral lists this small nucleolar RNA (277 nucleotides) under Cynoglossus semilaevis (tongue sole). Lineage: Eukaryota; Metazoa; Chordata; Actinopteri; Pleuronectiformes; Cynoglossidae. The record is from RNAcentral.
UUGCAGCUUUGUGAAAGUGCCCCUGGCAAAGUUGUUGCCUGUGGGUAAAACAUGGCUGCAGAAAGCAAAUCAAAGAAUGAAAAGGCGUGACUCCUCGAGGAUCAGGAGCUUCACGUGCGAUGUUCCUUGGACAGACAGACUCCUGCUUUCCACGGUGUUGGUGGCCUCUGUACGUGGCUACCAACUUUCUUAAGGCAGGUAGAGUAACAACUGGCAGCUGGAUAUUGUUUGCAGCAGGAAGAGGUUUUCCUCUCAGACACUUGAAGCUGUCACAAAA